CCCUUAGAUGUUCUGGGCCGCACGCGCGCUACACUGAUGCAUUCAACGAGUCUAAAACCUGCUCUGAUAGGGGUGGGUAAUCUUUUGAAUGUGCAUCGUGAUUGGGAUAGAUGAUUGCAAUUUUUCAUCUUCAACGAGGAAUGCCUAGUAAACGCAAGUCAUCAGCUUGCAUUGAUUACGUCCCUGCCCUUUGUACACACCGCCCGUCGCUCCUACCGAUUGAAUGGUCCGGUGAAGCGUUCGGACCGUGGCCUUUGGACGGUUCGCCGUCUGUUGGCUGCGGGAAGUUCGUUAAACCUUAUCAUUUAGAGGAAGGAGAAGUCGUAACA
RNAcentral lists this ribosomal RNA (329 nucleotides) under uncultured eukaryote. Its description in RNAcentral is "partial 18S ribosomal RNA". It matches the Rfam family "Eukaryotic small subunit ribosomal RNA", at positions 1470 to 1796 of the family's 1831-position model. The record is from RNAcentral.